This 226-nucleotide long non-coding RNA is filed under the name Paramuricea clavata. The record is from RNAcentral. Lineage: Eukaryota; Metazoa; Cnidaria; Anthozoa; Malacalcyonacea; Plexauridae.
CCCCGAGAGAAAAGUUGAUAAAAAAUUAUGACCCCCAUUUUUUUUACUGAAAAUUUUUUUGACCCCUCCUAACUAUUAUUAAUCCACACGGUGUCAUUUCCGUAGUGUUUCAGGGCUGUAGGAAGCUCUUUAUGAUUGGGGGCUGAAAGCGAGGGCAAAAGGCCCUAGGAAAUUUUUAAAUCUAGAGUCUCUGAAAUGCCAUUUCCUGGACUUUGGGAAAGAUUUU